CUUACGGGUGGCAGCAGUGGGGAAUAUUGCACAAUGGGCGCAAGCCUGAUGCAGCCAUGCCGCGUGUGUGAAGAAGGCCUUCGGGUUGUAAAGCACUUUCAGCGGGGAGGAAGGCGUUAAGGUUAAUAACCUUGGCGAUUGACGUUACCCGCAGAAGCAGCACCGGCUAACUCCGUGCCAGCAGCCGCGGUAAUACGGAGGGUGCAAGCGUUAAUCGGAAUUACUGGGCGUAAAGCGCACGCAGGCGGUCUGUCAAGUCGGAUGUGAAAUCCCCGGGCUCAACCUGGGAACUGCAUUCGAAACUGGCAGGCUAGAGUCUUGUAGAGGGGGGUAGAAUUCCAGGUGUAGCGGUGAAAUGCGUAGAGAUCUGGAGGAAUACCGGUGGCGAGGGCGGCCCCCUGGACAAAGACUGACGCUCAGGUGCGAAAGCGUGGGGAGCAAACAGGAUUAGAUACCCCUGUAGUC
RNAcentral lists this ribosomal RNA (465 nucleotides) under uncultured Klebsiella sp. RNAcentral describes it as "bacterial SSU rRNA". It matches the Rfam family "Bacterial small subunit ribosomal RNA", at positions 338 to 795 of the family's 1533-position model. The record is from RNAcentral. Lineage: Bacteria; Pseudomonadati; Pseudomonadota; Gammaproteobacteria; Enterobacterales; Enterobacteriaceae.